GAGACGGAUCUCUUUGAGGCCCGUUAUCGGAAUGAGAACAAUUCAAAUCCUUUAACGAGGAUCUAGCGGAGGGCAAGUCUGGUGCCAGCAGCCGCGGUAAUUCCAGCUCCGCAGGUGUAUAUCUAUGCUGCUGCGGUUAAAAAGCUCGUAGUUGGAUCUGCGUGCUCGGAACCGGUUGGCUCACUGAGUCCAAACUGGUCUCCGGCGCUUUAUCGGCUGGUUUUCCCUUGAUGCUCUUAACCGGGUGUCUCGGGUGGCUAGCGCGUUUACUUUGAAAAAAUUAGAGUGCUCAAUACAGGCGCAAAGCCUUGAAUAGUGGUGCAUGGAAUAAUAGAAUAGGACCUCGGUUCUAUUUUGUUGGUUUUCGGAACGCGAGGUAAUGAUUAAGAGGGACAGACGGGGGCAUUCGUAUUGCGACGUUAGAGGUGAAAUUCUUGGAUCGUCGCAAGACGGACGACUGCCAAAGCUUUUGCCAA
This 476-nucleotide ribosomal RNA is filed under the name Pierrickia sp. Its description in RNAcentral is "SSU rRNA". It matches the Rfam family "Eukaryotic small subunit ribosomal RNA", at positions 482 to 961 of the family's 1831-position model. The record is from RNAcentral. Lineage: Eukaryota; Metazoa; Nematoda; Chromadorea; Araeolaimida; Comesomatidae.